RNAcentral lists this long non-coding RNA (1023 nucleotides) under Capra hircus (goat). RNAcentral describes it as "lncRNA (ENSCHIG00000001516.1)". Lineage: Eukaryota; Metazoa; Chordata; Mammalia; Artiodactyla; Bovidae. The record is from RNAcentral.
UGUGGUUACAAAAGUUUGUUUUAAAAGGGACAAUUUACACCCUCUUCAAAUAAAACAAUAUUUUCUUCUCAAAACAAAAACAUUAAACAUACAUUUUACUUUAUGAAAAGCUAAAAUAUGUACAUUCUUUACAUAAAUGCUCCCCCCGAUCAGUAUGUUCCCUCUCUCUGACUCAGUAUUUCCAUUUUCCAACUAUUGCUCAUAUUUUUAGAGGAUAUGAUCCAGGUAAUGACGUAAUUUUUUUGUAAAUUAAAUUCUAGUGAUAAUUUGACCCCAGUGGAUAUUGAGUGUCUUACAGUCUAAUUUUGUGUAUAUUGUUCAAGGAAACAGAUUUCAGAGAUCUCCACUUCCGGGAAAGCUAUUAGAUGUAAUUUAGCAGCAAAGAAGACUUGGCUGUUAAUGGCUGUGACUGGCAUGUGAGAAGAGUGAGGAGAAAUGACUUCAGUGGCCCCACAGGAGUUCGGAGCAGAGAACAGGGCAUCAUCAGGUCUGGCACUGUUCUUGAGCACCAAGUCCCUCGUCUACCACCACAGGCUGUAAGCGCAGGUUGAGGCGGCUCCGCGUGAGGCGAUCGAAAACUGCACAGAAACAGCGAGAACUGGACUACUGAGCUUUUGCAAGAUGGCGCCCCCGCCGACACCCGCGCGAAGGAGAGCAGCGAGGUGAAUCGUCCCUCUUUCCUCCCGUCGUGAACAGCGCUGUACUCCUGUGAAGCCUGCUUGCGCCGUUGCUGUACUUUACACCUGACUUUUGUUACCUAGUGGGGAAAACACUGACAUAUCGGACUAGACUGUGCAUGAACCAAGGCAAUUUACGUGACGCUCUAACUUUACUCCCCAGUGUAACUAUCAGCAUUAGAAUCUGUCAUACAUAGAACAUACUGUUAACUGACAGGAAUAUUGUAAAAUUUCUAAUUUAAUAUAUUACCCUUAGACUCACCUCUUUCCUCAGUAACUAUUUUCUGGUCCAAUCGAUUUCUAAUGUAUUUUAAAAUACGUUCAUAUGAAAAUAAAAGUUCUAACA